UACGUAGGGUGCAAGCGUUACUCGGAAUUACUGGGCGUAAAGCGUGCGCAGGCGGUUUUGUAAGUCUGUCGUGAAAGCCCCGGGCUCAACCUGGGAAUUGCGUUGGAGACUGCAAGGCUAGAAUCUGGCAGAGGGGGGUAGAAUUCCACGUGUAGCAGUGAAAUGCGUAGAGAUGUGGAGGAACACCGAUGGCGAAGGCAGCCCCCUGGGUCAAGAUUGACGCUCAUGCACGAAAGCGUGGGGAGCAAACAGG
Molecule: ribosomal RNA, 253 nt
Filed under: uncultured bacterium
Lineage: Bacteria
Description: partial 16S ribosomal RNA
Rfam family: Bacterial small subunit ribosomal RNA
Source: RNAcentral